AAUAAGGUGCCUGAUUAAAGGGUUAUUUUGAUAGAAUAAAUUAUGUAUAUUUUACCCUUAUUA
This 63-nucleotide transfer RNA is filed under the name Sclomina parva. Its description in RNAcentral is "tRNA-Ile". Lineage: Eukaryota; Metazoa; Arthropoda; Insecta; Hemiptera; Reduviidae. The record is from RNAcentral.